RNAcentral lists this ribosomal RNA (278 nucleotides) under Acidobacteriota bacterium. RNAcentral's name for it is "partial 16S ribosomal RNA". It matches the Rfam family "Bacterial small subunit ribosomal RNA", at positions 1 to 274 of the family's 1533-position model. Lineage: Bacteria; Pseudomonadati; Acidobacteriota. The record is from RNAcentral.
UUUAACGAGAGUUUGAUCCUGGCUCAGAAUCAACGCUGGCGGCGUGCCUCAGACAUGCAAGUCGAACGCGAAAGUUUCCUUCGGGAAGCGAGUAGAGUGGCGCACGGGUGAGUAACACGUAAGUAAUCUACCCUUGGGUGGGGAAUAACAUCGGGAAACCGAUGCUAAUACCGCAUAAUGCAGCGGCUUCUUAUGAAGACAGUUGUUAAAGCAUUUAUGUGCCUGAGGAGGAGCUUGCGGCAGAUUAGCUAGUUGGUAAGGUAAUGGCUUACCAAGGC